GCCUGUGGCGAAAUUGAGAGGCGCACCAGACUCAGGGCCUGGCGCCGAAAGGCGUACAGGUUCAAGUCCUGCCAGGAACACCG
Molecule: transfer RNA, 83 nt
Filed under: Akkermansia sp.
Lineage: Bacteria; Pseudomonadati; Verrucomicrobiota; Verrucomicrobiia; Verrucomicrobiales; Akkermansiaceae
Also listed under: 1 other name
Description: tRNA-Leu
Source: RNAcentral